GGGUGUGUAGCUCAAAUGGUAGAGCGAUCGCUUCGCAUGCGAUAGGUAGCGGGAUCGAUGCCCACCACAUCCA
RNAcentral lists this transfer RNA (73 nucleotides) under Blastocystis hominis. It matches the Rfam family "tRNA". From Rfam's summary of the family: Transfer RNA (tRNA) molecules are approximately 80 nucleotides in length. Their secondary structure includes four short double-helical elements and three loops (D, anti-codon, and T loops). Further hydrogen bonds mediate the characteristic L-shaped molecular structure. tRNAs have two regions of fundamental functional importance: the anti-codon, which is responsible for specific mRNA codon recognition, and the 3' end, to which the tRNAs corresponding amino acid is attached (by aminoacyl-tRNA synthetases). tRNAs cope with the degeneracy of the genetic code in two manners: having more than one tRNA (with a specific anti-codon) for a particular amino acid; and 'wobble' base-pairing, i.e. permitting non-standard base-pairing at the 3rd anti-codon position. The record is from Rfam by way of RNAcentral. Lineage: Eukaryota; Bigyra; Opalinata; Blastocystidae.